This 6408-nucleotide long non-coding RNA is filed under the name Coffea arabica (coffee). RNAcentral's name for it is "long non-coding RNA (CARA_LNC004359)". Lineage: Eukaryota; Viridiplantae; Streptophyta; Magnoliopsida; Gentianales; Rubiaceae. The record is from RNAcentral.
ACACUCCCAGCCCUUCAUAUGAAAGAGAACAAAAUUGUUUAAACAAAAAGCACUUGUUUAGAUAUGUCAUUUUAGCAUUUGUUGCUGCAUAGGCUUGGGUCAAAGUGCUCAUUGGAUAACAGCUUAAUAUGACGAGGUCUUGUAACUUUAUAUACUCCUUAUGUUUAAAGAGGCACUUUGCUGAAAGGUACCUUUAAGAGGAAUCUUCUUAUCUAUUUCUUUUGGUUGGUUUCUCGUUUCCAAAGCCCUAGACAACAUUUCUCACUGUGGAUGAACUAGAUGUGGAAUAGCUAACUAGACGUAAGGGAUAUGUUUAAGAUCACUGCUAUAUCUAGAAAUGAGUAUGACCAAAAAAACCCAGUGUUUUUUCAAACUCGUGGUUCUUUAAGCUUGAGGAUUUCUCCAAACAACUUCAUAUCUGCAUGUGCUGGUUGGCUAUUUUCUCCGGUGCCCAGCCCUGAGGCUGCGUGUAUCUGUACUGGCUUAUUAAGUUUCUUGUGUUUUGGACACAUGAUCCUAUUCUAUCUAUGAGUUUGGCUUUAACAAUCAAGAUGUUAAGGUUGCAUAUUAAUCAUAAGGUGAAUUAAUUGACAUUGUUCCCAGUGGUGAAACCAAGACAAUGAACAUAAAUUGCAAUGCCAAAAAGAAAGAAAUACAAGGAAACAACAAAGAGGUAUAAAUUUACCCUAAAAAGGAACCGAUGUUAUCACUACCAUUGUCUCCAAAUAGUAGAAGAUGUUGACUCUUUACUGGAUGAUGAUGUCUCCAAAUAGUAGAAGAUUAAUUAAAGAUGCAAAAUUAGAAAAUGAGGGAUAUUGUAUGAUACUGGAGAAAAACUAAAGUAUAAGACUCCAAAAUCAGAAUUUGUCUUCUGAAUGAAACCAGAUCUAUAGAUGUUUAAAAGUUGUCUAGAAUGAAGAAUUUUCUAAUGAUAAGUUAAUGUUGACAAUAAUUUUUAUCUGGUGCAUGAUUCCUUGUGAUUUUAGUCUACUUGAUGAAUACCUACUUGGUAACUGUUUCUGAUAAAAAGUUGUGGAUAAAGCUCCUCAAAGUUGUACUUUUGUGCAAACCUGUCAGCCAUUGGUUAUAGUUGUCAGAAUAGCAUCUUUCAUAGACUAUCCUUUCCUCCUUUGGUAAUGGAUUUUCUUUCUUCUUUAUUUUGAAUCAUCUGCACAUAUUUAAUUUAUUUGGGGCAUUUAAGAGAAAUUUCUUGGAUAUGUGGUAUACAACAUAGAAAUUGAUUUAGCUAGUUCAGGGUUUACAAAGUCAAAGGUGGGACCAUGGAAAAUUUUUUAUCCUCAACUUGGUUUAGGUGUUGCCCUUGCCAGAAUUGGACAUGCAAAGACGAAUCUAACUAUUUCUACAUAAAGCAAUUAUUUAAAUUUUGGAAUUUCCCUUGUAGAAAGAAAAUCUGGAUCUAUAGUCUGUUUGCAAUUGCAGUUAUCAAGAGAAUUCUAGUUUCUAACUGUAAAAUAAGUCUGUUUGUCUGAAAGAAAAAUGUGGACUUUUUUUUCAUUUUUUCUCUGUGACAUUGUUCAUGGGUAGUUUUUCAAAUGAUCUGUUGACUGAGGUUACAAUUACUUUGGGGCUAAUAUGUUAACACGAGCCUAGGUCUCAGGUUUUCUAAGCAUGUGACGAGCAGUUUACAAAAGCAAAAUUGGAUUCUUGUUCACUUCUUUUAGGAGCUGUAAUACUUCUGGCGGAUGUGCAGAUCAGUGGGCUAAUCUGAAGCAGGGCUUUCAGAAUUGUGAUAUCAGAAAUCUAACUGCAUAUUGGUGAUUUUCUGCUACAAGUGAAGUCAACAUUCCUGAAGGAUAGUUGUGGUUCAGGGUAUACUUGGCAUGAAAAGUAAAUAUAGUAAAUUUAAGUUAAAGAAACAAUAUUAUACAGAGAGCGAAAAAGGGAACUUGCUUAUGAUGAAACAACUCUCAUGGGGCCUUAACCUGCCUUUCUUAAGCUAGUUUUUCUUAUUUUCGCUGGACUCCAUCUUUUUCGUUCUAUAGUCUUUGGGAAUUUGUCCUUGUUGUUGUGAAGCAUGCAGGGUCUUGUUUGAUUGUCAUUUAGUAUUAUGGUUUGUCGCAUAAUAUGCAUUUUCGGUUACUCUCGCAAAAUCAGCUCUGCAUAUUUUUUUGCCCCUUUUGGGGCAUUUCAUCAUUCCAUAAAUAUAGGAUGAGUCCACGACUAUGCAUUUGUCUUAUGACAUAGAUGCAGUUACUUAAAAGUGUUGACAAAUAGUCUGCGUCCAAAUCUGUUAGAUCAAGCUCCAGUAAAAGAAAGUAUAGUUGACCUUAAGAAUCUGAUUGGUUAUUGGUUUGUUCUGAUACCAACUCUUCCGCAUUCAAUUUCAAGACCACAGACUUUAUCUGUGGAAAUUUUCCUUAUCCUAAUUCAGUAUAUCUAGGGGAAAAUACAAAUAUCAGUGAUACCAAAUUUUCAGGGAUUCAUUACGUACUAUUAAAUGGUAGUUAUGGUCUCAGCUGGAGUAACAGUUGAAAAUUUUCCUUAUACUGCACUGACUAUACUGGUCCUGUAAUACCUAUAAUGUCUUACUGAAAAUUUCAAAACUUGUACUAUAAUUAUAACAUUACGAUGUUGGUGCAUUUAAGAUGAAUGGAGACUCCCGCGAGAGUGCCCUAAGUUCCAAAUCAGGGAACACAUAUACUGCUGUGCUUUUCUAUGCCUCCUGGUGUCCAUUUUCACAGGAUGCCCUUUCAGCCUUUGAAGUCUUGGAUUCCUUGUAUCCUGAAAUUGAUCAUUUAGCCGUUGAACAAUCUUCAACUGUGCCAAGGUAAAUUUGAAGUUACUUUGCCUUCAUGAUAUACUCCUAGGUAUUACACUUAAGUUACAGAAGAUCAGCUUGAUUUUCCAAUAGCUGCAACGGAGUAUGAUUUUGACAAGUAAAAACUAGCCUAAGCAAUGACUGCCAUUCCAAUUAACAUUUUGCUACUUGUAUAUUGCUUUUAAAAGCAAAAAUGAGAAAAAAAAAAGGGAAAAUUAUAGUUGAACUGUACUGUACCUGCCUAAAUAUAGACUAUUACUGUGAGAGCUUAAAUUUUGCAUGAAGUUAGAUGGUGUAAUCUUGUGGCGAUAUCUGUUUAUUUUCCAAGCUUAUGUUUUAGUAUUUUCUUUUUAAAAUAACCUGUCAUUUUAAGUUUUUCCUGUUUGCUCACUUGCUGUUGUGGAUUUCUUUACAGCUUGUUUUCAAGAUAUGGCAUACAUAGCUUACCAGCUAUAAUAAUUGUGAGCCAAAAGUCCAGGACCCGUUUUCGUGGUUCUAAAGAUCUAGACUCCCUUAUCAAAUUUUACAAGAAAACCACUGGUAUGCCUUUUCCGUACAAAGUCGGUCUGUCACUGAUCUGUCCAUUUUCCUUUUAUGAAUCAUUUGGUGGUGAAAAGUGCAUAGAUAGCUUAUUUUGCCUGUUCCAGUUCCUUAUAACGCUAUUAAUUGACAAUAAGGCCUGCUGUUAUGAGCAAUUAGUCCUUUCCUCAUGCAUCUGAGGAUGGAAUUUGGAUUACUGUGUCUGUUGCAAUUGUUUUUGCUCAUCACCUGGUUUUGUAAAAAUGCUAGGACAUGAACCAGUUCAAUACAUUGCUGUGGAUCAGUCUGGCAAUUCAGGAAUUGGUGGAAAGUCCAUGGUGGUAUCGCGAUGUGGGUCAUCUGCAAAGGAAACGUUGACAAGAGAGCCCUACUUAUUUUUCUCUGUGUUAUUCCUUUCUUUACGAGUGAUGGUGUACGUGUGCCCAAAAUUCCUUUUUCAUUCAAGAAAUCUCUGGGUAUCUUUCCGCCCCCAUUUGAAUUUGGAAAUUUUUGGAGGGACAAGCGAAAUCUUAGGGCAGAUCUUUCAGAUGACUGAUUUCAAGAGAGUUUGGACCAAGAUUAGAUUGUGUAAUCACAGGAAUUUCCACCUGGGUGCAAGCAAUGCAAGAGUGUUUGCUUCGUCUUUCGCUUCCGUCUCCUUGGGUGAAACUUCGCUAUCUAAAUUGUGAUCUUGAGGUAAAUUUGAUCCCACUUUUACUGUGAAAAUAUUCAUAAACUCUAUAGAGUGACACCAAAAGGUUUUAUAGGUAAGAGUUACUUUGUCUUUUGUUUUCAUCUAACCUCCAUCCCAAAGUUGUGAGCAAGGUGGGAGUGGAUGGAUGGCCUUGUACAUCAGAAAUAGCUCCAUGUAAAUUAUGUUGAAAGAAACAUUUUAAUAUGGUAGAGUCGUGAAACAUGACAAUGGUAAAGAAACACUUUUGUAUCCAUUUUUCAGACUUUGGAAGUUGAGUUCCAUUCCCAUUGUUGAUGGCACAUUAGUCUGCAAUUCUCUAUAUGCUAAUACGACAGGAUAGCACUAUAAAUCCAUGAGACUACUGUUGAUCCUCAUUUGUUGGCUACGGAGGAAACUUUUACUGGACAAUGUGCUUGAGCUUUAAUGAGCCAUUUCCUAAGCAUUUCCCUUUCAGUCUUGCUUUAACAUAGGCAGCAUUUGGAGCCUGUGGUGGUCCUUUUCCUUUGCAUCGUUUAGUAGGCGUUUGGUCGUGGCUCCACGCUUCACCAUUGACAACCUUUCACCUUCUCUUACAUGGUCACACCAGGUACGUAGGAAUUUUACCUGAAGAAGCCCUCACGGACGGCCCGUUAAUAGCAUGCUGCUGCAGGAAAAUGACAACGUUGAAUCUUCCGUGUUCUGUGACAGCCUGCAAUGUUCUCAGAAACAUCUCCUUCUCCUGUGCUUUUCUUUGAAAAAGAAAGAGACAAAUCUGGAGAUGCAAGUCGCGUACUAACACAACAAAACCAAGAAGCAAACAGGAAACACUAGCGAAAAUUAGCAGAACAAGAAAAAGCACAUACUCAAGCUCCUGAUCAAGGUAGCAAACUGAGUAGACAUAAUAAUUUAUUGGCCCAUAUGGUAACCAUUGCACUUCAAAUUUUGAGAAAAAUUUGUAACCCCUUGUGUUAAAAUUUUGACAAAAAUGCAACUCCUUGUGGGGCUGUGCGUUAGUUGAACAUUAUAUGGCUUGGAAAAUCAAUGCAGGAUACUGCACAUCGAGACAGAUAGAUAGAUAGCUAAAAUCCAAUAAAGAUACUUCCUCACGGACAGUUGUACAUGUAUGAGGGGGGAGUUUCACUUUCACUUUCAUGAUUCAUCAUCCCUUUCCCUUUCUUUGUCUAUUUUUUUUUCCCUAUAGGUGACCCCCAGAGUCAGCAUCAUCCCAAGCAAACUCCCUCAAGCAAUCGCCACUUUUUUCUCAUUUUUUUUAUUGCAGAAAAAUGGGAGCGAAAUUAAAAGGGAAUCUCUUGUGGAAGAACAAGUCUCCAUCUUGAAGCUUCUACUUUUAUGGAUGAGAUGAAGAGAAAAUUAUUAGAAUAUGAAAUCAGCAGACAGAGUGUUAAUGACACUAACAAACUAUUGGCGAAUGGUACUAAAGCCUAUAGGAACAAAGAAAUCAGGAAAUUGAAAAAAAAAAAAUAUCCAGUAGCCUAAUCAAAGGGAAGGGGGUUUUUCUCUAAGGUAGGACCCGUCGGGACCAUGAUCCCUUUGUCACCUUUUAGAAGGAUAAGCUCCUAAUUACAUCAUAUUUACUCUCAAUGCUGGUUUCCAGUCUUCACUCCAAGAGCAAGAAGACAUCAUAAUAGAGGUAGAGAGGAGGCUGUGGUGGUGGCCUGGUCUGAAUAGUAUUCCUUCGCUACACUCCAUGAAAGCCACCUUCGUUGAAGAACCUAAUAAUUCAUCCCCACCAUCCAACCCAAAUUUUUCAUCAUUCCCUACUUUUCUUUUCUCCCUAGCUAGUGCGAUCUUUUGCUAGAACUAAGAAAACUAAAAAUGGAGGGUCUUGAAGAGUGGGAAGUCCUCCCUGAUGAUGGAUUUCUUAAAAUCCAUGAUGAUGAUGGGAAGAAGAUUUUCUCAAGAAAAUAUGCAACCACUGCCUCUGAGAAUGUUUUCAAGAAUUACUUCAUAUGCCCAUCUCCAAAAUCAUCAAAAUUUGUCGAAACUACUGCAGAGACGGCGGCCAGAGUGCCUAAUCAGCUCGUGCCAAUCCCAAUUCAGCUGGAGCCAGCACUUAAGAAUCAGAUCCCCGAAGUUGACGAUCAAGGGCUGAAACAAGUGAUUAAGGCCCCAUUUGACACAUCCAUCAGAAGUCCCAAGAUAAUAACAGGGGAAGCUGAUCAGGAUCUAGUCUCGCAGGUUUUCUUCAAGAAAAUGAAGGAAACUGAAUUAUUUGCCGACAUGAAACUGGACUCGCCCAAGUCCAACAACAACAGCAGCAGCAGCCACACCGCUAGGGGGAUCAAGCCUCAAAUUGACGCGGGUGCCUUUCAGUUUGAGGAGAAAGCAGACACUUAUAAAGCUGCUGGUGAGGCUCUGGAAACAACCAAGAUUUCCUCUCCAAGACAGAAAAUUGAUCCAGAAGGAAAGAUGAUCA